This 497-nucleotide ribosomal RNA is filed under the name uncultured bacterium. Its description in RNAcentral is "partial 16S ribosomal RNA". It matches the Rfam family "Bacterial small subunit ribosomal RNA", at positions 28 to 507 of the family's 1533-position model. The record is from RNAcentral.
GAUGAACGCUGGCGGCGUGCCUAAUACAUGCAAGUCGAGCGAACAGGCGAGGAGCUUUCUCCUUCGACGGUAGCGGCGGCCGGGGGGUUAACACGUAGGUAACCUACCUCUAAGACUUGGUUGACUACGGGAAACCGGUGCUACUAACGGAUGAUAUUUCGAGCCUCAUGGUUCAUUAGUGAAAGAUGGCUUUGGUAUCACUGAUAGAUGGACCUGCGCCGUAUUAGCUAGUUGGUAAGGUAAUGGCUUACCAAGGCGACGAUACGUAGCCGACCUGAGAGGAUGGUCGGCGACAACGGAAGUGAGACACGGUGCAGACGCCUACGGGAGGCAGCAGUAGGGAAGCAUCCGCAACGGGGGACGCCCUGACGGAGCAACGCCGCGUCGGGGAUGAUGGUGUUCGGAGGGUAAUGAUCCGCUAUUGGGGAAGAACCAACGUGGAAGUAACUGUGCAUGUCUUGACGGUACCUAAACAGAAAGCCACGGCUAACUACGUG